GGCUACACAAAGAAACCCUGUCUUGAACCCCCCUCCCCAAAAGAAAGUUAUGUGUGUGUGUGUUUGCAUGAAUGCAACAUGUGUACAGAUGCCCAAGGAGGGCAGAGAAGGGGUUAGAGCCACUGGAGCUGGCCUUACAGGGUUGUGAGCCACUUGAAUAGGAGCUAGGAACUGAACUCAGGUCCCCUGAAAGAGCAGGGAGUGCCCUUAAGCACCAAGCCAUCUUCCCAACACUCAGCAAUGUGAUUGUUGUCUUUAUUUUAAUUAAUUAAUUAAUUAAGUAAGUAAGUUAUUGGGUGAGCACUACAAUGUACAGAGGUGGUCAGAGAACGACUUGUGGAGACAACUGUCUUCUUUCCGUAGUGUGGGGCCUUCCAAGGGAUCGAAUCCAGGUCGUCAGGUUGGCCCCAAGUGCCUUUACCAGCUGAGCCAUUUAGCUAGCCCCAGAAUGCUAGUUCUUGAUCAGUUAUUGAGUGUGGAAGGAUGCUUUAACAGACUGAGCUGUAUUUCUUCCGUAUUCUCUUACUGAUGGGUGGGGGUCAGUGCGGAUUCUUACUAAGCUUUUGGGUAACGGAAUAGAGAAGUGUCCUCGAGGUUCUCCAGACAGCCGGAAGCAGAGCCGGGUUGAGAACCUGACUCUCCUGGCUCUUCCUCCAGCACCACCAUGCUUUCUCUACCACCUUCCAGUCAAGGACUUGCAAAGGAGAAGCAGUCAUCCCCGUGGUGCCCCAGAACUGCUCUUACUGCGCAACAGGACUUCACGAACAUUUAUUGAAUUUAUGUAUUUUAAACCACGUUUAAAACAAAAGCCAACGCCUCAGGCUCCACCUCUGGAAAAUCCAAUUUAAUUUUAAAGGCCACUUGGAUGAAUCCAACCAGUGGUUCUCAAAUGGAAUCUUGGUGAGGGCUGGUGAGACCCAGAAGGCGGCCCACCCUGUGGGUUUUUGAAUCAGCCAAUCUAGUGUAUGGUCAAAAAUAUUUCCCUCUCUCAGUGUCUCUGUCUGUCUGUCUCUCUUUUCACAUGUAUGUAUGUAUGUAUGUAUGUAUGUACGUACAUAUGUGUGUAUGUAUGUGUAUAUGAGUGUGUGUGUGUGUGUGCAGGUUCAUGUGUGUGAGGACAAAGGACAGGCACCAUCCCUCUGGUGCCGUCUUCCUUGCUUUUUGAGAGGAGUCUCAUUGGCCUAGAACUCACCAGGGCUAGACUGGCUACCAGUGAGCCCAAAGAUCCACGAGUCUCCACCUCCCUGCCCUGGAAUUACUGGCACAUUAGAAUUACCACCCCUUAAAAACUUGUAGGUGACACUGGUACUCUGGGAAUCUCUAUAUCAAAAGUAACUGGGAUAAAUGCUACGAGCCUACAGCCAUACAGCCAAGUCUAUGGGUUUGGGACUAAGUCUAUCCACAGUGCCUCAUCCAGAUUAGGUCCUUAGCGUGAGUGUAUUGGCACUCAGCAGCCAGUUAAUAAAAGCUCACAAAUGAAACCUAUUGCCUUGCCGGCCAUUGCAGAAGCUGCAGAGCAGAGGGAAAGGUCCCCGAUGUCCUCUCAUUAAGGGAGUUGCUGAUGGGAUGACAGAUUGCUCUUUUUUUAUCUUACUUGGCAGUGUCUUUGAUCCCAGAAGGCUGUAGAGCACAAAGGACCCUCAAACUCUGAAGAGAUGUGGAGUAGAUGUGUUGAGCAUGGCUCGAGGGCAGAUGAGGGUGUGGAAGCUGUGUGAGGAAGGGACAAUUGCUCAGCAAAGGCUUCUGGGAGGACGACUAUUAGUAGAGUACUACUAGUAGAGUUUGGGAGGUAACUCUGUGAUGGAGAAGAGGAACUGUGUGCUUCCAUGGAGAAACAGCACCAGAAAAAGACAGUAAUGAAGGGUACGGGAAAGCCUCCUGAUAGCAAGAAGGAAGGUCCCUGUGUGAAAAGGGGGCACACAAGGUCACCGAAACAAGGCCUCUUCCAGCAGAACGAUGCACCUUACCUAACUGGAUUUACUAAGUCCUGAUAAACACAUGACUCCUACUUAACCCUUCUCUGGGAGCAGCUGUUAACAUCUUCAGCCUAUCCCAGAAUCCUCCAGUGCAGAGUCGCCAGAGUCACUAAUACACAUUAAAGUAACGGGGUAAAUGAGCUUAUGCCAAGCCAAAAUGCAGGCUGCACCCCAACUGAUCAGGUGGAAGAGGUCUCUGGCCUUCCACACUCUCCUGGCUUUUUGUGUCUCAGAGUUACAAAUGUCAGUUUCUAAACACAAGGUAGAGGCCGCAGGAGUAGCUCAGUAAGUAAACCACUCACUGUGCAUGGCCGAGGACCUGAGUCUGCAGAACCUACACAGAAGCCUAGUGAGACAGCUUGCACACCUGUGAUCCCAGCUCUCCGUGGGGAGAAAAGAGAUCAAGAGAGAAGAGACCCCCCAAAGCACAAGGACCACAGCAUAUGCAGCAGUGAACAACAAAGAUCGUCUGUAUGAAACAAGAUAGAGGUGUCCUAGAGUUUCCAUUGCUGUGAACAGUCGCCAUGACCAAGGCAACUCUUAAUAAGGACAACGUUUAAUUG
Mus musculus (house mouse) is the source of this 2539-nucleotide long non-coding RNA. RefSeq annotates it as predicted gene, 40229. The record is from RefSeq and is a predicted model, not a curated record. The transcript is spliced from 3 exons. Lineage: Eukaryota; Metazoa; Chordata; Mammalia; Rodentia; Muridae.